CGCUGUCCGUGUCUCUCUGCGCUGCAGUACCGCAGUGCGGCCACUAGAGGGCGGUAGGGAGCGCCGCGCUGUUGUACGCAUGCGCGAUGCUGGGGGGCGGGGAUACGAGAAAUGAAACGCGGCGCUCAGCCAAUCGCGGCGCGAGAAGAGACGAGGCGGAAGUGGAGCGGCCGCUCUGCGCAGCCAGUCUCUAUGGUGCUCGGUCCUCCAGCCCGUAACACGCCUCAUCCAACGGCCACGCAAUGGCCAAUCAGGGGGCUCCAGUAGCCUCCCAGUAGCCAGCCAAUGAUCCCCAGUAGCCACCCAGUACCUUCCCAGUAUCCCCCCAGUAGCCCUCAGUGACCACCCAGUAGCCCCCAGUAGCCCCCCAGUAGCUGAUGGAUUUGGAUGGUGUGAUCCCAUUGGGUGAUGGAUUUGGGUGGUGGGACCCCAUUGGAUCCCAUUGGGUGAUGGGGUUUGGGGUGGUGGGACCCCAUUGGCUGAUGGAUUUGGGUGGUGGGACCCCAUUGGGUGAUGGAUUUGGGUGGUGGGACCCCAUUGCGUGAUGGGGUUUGGGGUGGUGGGACCCCAUUGGGUGAUGGAUUUGAGUUGUGGGACCCCAUUGGCUGAUGGAUUUGGGUGGCGUGAUCCCAUUGGAUCCCAUUGGGUUGAGGAUUCCCCAAUAGCGAUGGGGGGCUCCCAUGGGGUAGCGUGGCCGAGCGGUGUAAGGCGCUGGAUUAAGGCUCCAGUCCCUGCGGGGGCGUGGGUUCGAAUCCCACCGCUGCCACGACGCAUCUUUUGGGGUCCCAUGGGGGGAGCACAGCUGGGGGUGCGCCCCCCCCUCCCCCCAGUUAACAACUCAAUGAUUUUUAAUUGAUUUUAUCCUUUUUUUCAUUAUUUUAUCAGCAAUCUCCCCCCUCCCCCCCCCAAGCCCUUCUUGGUUCCCACAGCCCACAAUNNNNNNNNNNNNNNNNNNNNNNNNNNNNNNNNNNNNNNNNNNNNNNNNNNNNNNNNNNNNNNNCAACCCCCCCCGGUGGCUGGGACCCCCCCUGGGCUCCCCAUUCCCAAGAAAUCCCACUCUAUUGGGGGAACCAUUGGGAUUCAUUGGUGUUUUGGGGGGCAUUUCACGGGGUUCCUCGGAACUUGGUGGGAUUCCAUUGGAUUCCCUGGGAUUUUAUGGGAUUCCAUUGGAUUUCAUGGGGUUCCUUGGGGAUUUCUUGGGAUUCCAUGGGAAUUUCAUAGGAUUCCAUGGGAUUUCACGGAAUUCUAUAGGGAUUCCAUAGGGUUCCUUGAUUUUUUUGGGGAGUUCCUUAGAGAUUUCAUGGGGAUCCUUGGAUUUUGUGGGAUUCAAUGGAUUCAUUCCAUUCAUUCUGUGGGAUUCCAAUGGAUUUCAUUCCAAUGUACCAUUCCUUGGAAUUUCUUGGUGUUUCUUCAAGAUUUUGUAGGGUUCCUUGGCGAUCUCACGGGGUUCCUUGCAGAUUCCAUGGGAUUCCUUGGAGUUUCAUGGGGUUCCGUGGGGUUCCUUAGAAAUUUCAUGGGGUUCCUUGAUAUUCAAAGCAGCUCCUUGGAGAUUUUAUAGGAUUCCUUGGGGAUCUCAAGGGAUUCCUUGGGAUUUCAUGGAAUCUGUUGGAUGUUUUUUGAAGUUCCAUUGGACUUUAUGGGGUUCCUUGGGAUUCCAUGGAAUUUGUUGGACGUUUUAUGGGGUUCCAUUGGAUUUUAUGGGGUU
Phasianus colchicus (ring-necked pheasant) is the source of this 1705-nucleotide long non-coding RNA. The record is from Ensembl. NCBI's taxonomy places the organism in Eukaryota, Metazoa, Chordata, Aves, Galliformes, Phasianidae.